This is an unclassified non-coding RNA of Chelonoidis abingdonii (Abingdon island giant tortoise), 165 nucleotides long. The record is from Ensembl. Lineage: Eukaryota; Metazoa; Chordata; Testudines; Testudinidae.
UAGAGUGACAGACUGGGCAGCCUCAAGAGGGCAAGUACAGUAUGUUUAAUAACAGUGCAAGCUUCCCACAUGCACUGUCUCCUGCCAGUGUGCCUCAACCCUGCCCUGUAGGGACCCAUUAAGGCUGAAAGAGGAAAGUGUGUGUCCAUUCUGACUUUGGGUUCU